Lolium rigidum is the source of this 1048-nucleotide long non-coding RNA. RefSeq lists it as uncharacterized. The transcript is spliced from 5 exons. The record is from RefSeq and is a predicted model, not a curated record. Lineage: Eukaryota; Viridiplantae; Streptophyta; Magnoliopsida; Poales; Poaceae.
UCUGAUAGAUGAGAUGUAUGAAUAGUGACUCUGGUGGAUCCUUGAGGAGGUUUAGUACUAGUCAUUUGUUAUGGUGAAAUAAAAUCAGCAGCUACUCUGCUCCUGAUAUGAUAUGGUCUGGUGGAGGUGGAAUGAACUCUGGGAUGACAAAUGGGAAAUAAUGAAGAGAAGGAAACAUCAAGAAAUGUUUUCAAAAAAUCAUCCCUGGCUAAUGUCGUCCACAGGGGACGCAACUGUCCUGGAUGGAUGGCCAGGACUGCCUCGAGUAUGAGGUGUCCAUCAAGAAUAUCUUGCUGCCACUUAAUAUGGAGGGUGCCUUGUUGCUGCAAAAUGGGCGGGUUCUGGAUGACUUUCUGCACUAGGACGCCACCGGGGACAAGAACGACUAGGUGCCUCCUGCCUGCCUUUUACCUUGUAACAACUCACAAGAUUUUCUUGCUGCCACUUUUCCUGAAUAUGGACGGUGCUUUGGUGCUGAAAUAUGGCUGGCCGGGCUGCUGCUGCUGACCGCCGCCACAUGCUGAAGGUUCAGGAUUGCGUGCAGUGGUGCUGGUAGAGCCAACUGCUGGCGGCAGCGGUGAUGGCGCCAUGCAUGAAGGUCCAGGAGGGUCCUUAAUUUGGAGGGUGCCUUAGAGCUCAUAAAUCGGUUCAGGAUGUCUUCCUCCACUCAGACACUGUUGGGGACAAGAAUCUCUGCGAGGUUCCUCCUGCUUCCUUCUCCAAAAAAAAAUCAUGGACAAUGACAUGGCAGGGUAUGCUAGCUGGAUCUGUAGCUGCUUGAUGCAUCAUAUUGAGCCACCUGUAGCUCCCUGAAUGCGAUGAUAUGGUUGCAAUCCAAGAACCGCCAAAGUUUUCAACUUUAUUUUUUCUUAUGUAUAUAACCCUUCUAGGAUGUGAUCGGAAACAUGUGUUGCUGUGUAUCCGCUUUUGCCCUAUGUUUGUUGGUCGGUGGUUUGGAAAUUCUGGUUGAUUGUCUCGUUAGUUGUGACUAUUGUUGUAAUAUAAAUAUAUUGUUUGCUAUGCAGUUUUGAAUGUCCCCAAAACAGGC